This 72-nucleotide transfer RNA is filed under the name Camelus dromedarius (Arabian camel). It matches the Rfam family "tRNA". From Rfam's summary of the family: Transfer RNA (tRNA) molecules are approximately 80 nucleotides in length. Their secondary structure includes four short double-helical elements and three loops (D, anti-codon, and T loops). Further hydrogen bonds mediate the characteristic L-shaped molecular structure. tRNAs have two regions of fundamental functional importance: the anti-codon, which is responsible for specific mRNA codon recognition, and the 3' end, to which the tRNAs corresponding amino acid is attached (by aminoacyl-tRNA synthetases). tRNAs cope with the degeneracy of the genetic code in two manners: having more than one tRNA (with a specific anti-codon) for a particular amino acid; and 'wobble' base-pairing, i.e. permitting non-standard base-pairing at the 3rd anti-codon position. The record is from Rfam by way of RNAcentral. Lineage: Eukaryota; Metazoa; Chordata; Mammalia; Artiodactyla; Camelidae. RNAcentral also lists the same sequence under 1 other name.
AAGGGUAUAGCUCAAUGGUAGAGCAUUUGCUUGGCAUGUAUGAGGUCCUGGGUUCAAUCCCCAGUACCUGUA